RNAcentral lists this ribosomal RNA (355 nucleotides) under uncultured bacterium. RNAcentral describes it as "bacterial SSU rRNA". It matches the Rfam family "Bacterial small subunit ribosomal RNA", at positions 71 to 422 of the family's 1533-position model. The record is from RNAcentral.
CGUCUGUAGCAAUACAGAUGGCGCACGGCGCACGGGUGCGUAACACGUGGGUAAUCUGCCCCUCGAUGGGGAAUAACCUCGCGAAAGCGAGGCUAAUUCCACAUAACAUUCCUAAGACUUCGGUCCCUGGACUCAAAGCCCGCAAGGGCGUCGAUGGAGGAACCCGCGCACGAUUAGCUAGUUGGUGAGGUAACGGCUCACCAAGGCUUUGAUCGUUAGCUGGUCUGAGAGGAUGGCCAGCCACACUGGAACUGAGACACGGUCCAGGCUCCUACGGGAGGCAGCAGUGGGGAAUCUUGCGCAAUGGGCGAAAGCCUGACGCAGCGACGCCGCGUGGGGGAUGAAGGCCUUCGGG